Long non-coding RNA from Oncorhynchus tshawytscha (Chinook salmon), 260 nucleotides. RefSeq lists it as uncharacterized. Lineage: Eukaryota; Metazoa; Chordata; Actinopteri; Salmoniformes; Salmonidae. The transcript is spliced from 2 exons. The record is from RefSeq and is a predicted model, not a curated record.
AGCCAUGAGAUAAAACAACAGAGAGGAAGAGGGGGAAGAAGAGAGCCAUGAGGUAAAACAACAGAGAGGAAGAGGGGGAAGAAGAGAGCCAUGAGGUAAAACAACAGAGAGGAAGAGGGGGAAGCAGGGAGCGAAGAAGAGAGCCAUGAUGUACAAACAACAUAGAGGAAGAGGGGGAAGCAGGGAGCGAAGAAGAGAGCCAUGAGGUAAAACAACAGAGAGGAAGAGGGGGAAGCAGGGAGCGAAGAAGAGAGCCAUGA